GGGUGGAAAGGAGCUGCCCUUGUUCCCCCUCCAGGAAGGAGAUCCGGCCCUUUGGACAUCGCCAAGAGAUUGAAGGAGGAUGACGCUCAACAUCUGGAGGGGUCUGCUGGCUGUGACCCUCCUGGCAGGCCCUGGAGCAGCUCAGAGUUGCAGGACCCUACCUAUAGGUAAGAACAGGGAGAAAUAAUUUGGCCUUAGGGAAGCCGGCCAGCCAGUCUUCCAUCCAUCACCAUGACAUCGUUGGGUCAGCAGACAAAGCGGUGGACGGGAACUGCAACGGGGACUGGUACAACAACU
This is a non-coding RNA of Pseudonaja textilis, 297 nucleotides long. NCBI's taxonomy places the organism in Eukaryota, Metazoa, Chordata, Lepidosauria, Squamata, Elapidae. The record is from RefSeq and is a predicted model, not a curated record.